This 76-nucleotide transfer RNA is filed under the name Gammaproteobacteria bacterium. Its description in RNAcentral is "tRNA-Thr". It matches the Rfam family "tRNA". Rfam says of the family: Transfer RNA (tRNA) molecules are approximately 80 nucleotides in length. Their secondary structure includes four short double-helical elements and three loops (D, anti-codon, and T loops). Further hydrogen bonds mediate the characteristic L-shaped molecular structure. tRNAs have two regions of fundamental functional importance: the anti-codon, which is responsible for specific mRNA codon recognition, and the 3' end, to which the tRNAs corresponding amino acid is attached (by aminoacyl-tRNA synthetases). tRNAs cope with the degeneracy of the genetic code in two manners: having more than one tRNA (with a specific anti-codon) for a particular amino acid; and 'wobble' base-pairing, i.e. permitting non-standard base-pairing at the 3rd anti-codon position. The record is from RNAcentral. Lineage: Bacteria; Pseudomonadati; Pseudomonadota; Gammaproteobacteria.
GCCGGAAUAGCUCAGUUGGUAGAGCAGUGCAUUCGUAACGCAAAGGUCGGAGGUUCGAUCCCUCUUUCCGGCACCA